UACACUCCUACGGGAGGCAGCAGUGGGGAAUAUUGGACAAUGGGCGCAAGCCUGAUCCAGCCAUGUCGCGUGAGUGAUGAAGGCCCUAGGGUUGUAAAGCUCUUUCACCGGUGAAGAUAAUGACGGUAACCGGAGAAGAAGCCCCGGCUAACUUCGUGCCAGCAGCCGCGGUAAUACGAAGGGGGCUAGCGUUGUUCGGAUUUACUGGGCGUAAAGCGCACGUAGGCGGACUAUUAAGUCAGGGGUGAAAUCCCGGGGCUCAACCCCGGAACUGCCUUUGAUACUGGUAGUCUUGAGUUCGAGAGAGGUGAGUGGAAUUCCGAGUGUAGAGGUGAAAUUCGUAGAUAUUCGGAGGAACACCAGUGGCGAAGGCGGCUCACUGGCUCGAUACUGACGCUGAGGUGCGAAAGCGUGGGGAGCAAACAGGAUUAGAUACCCGUGUAGUCCCA
Molecule: ribosomal RNA, 449 nt
Filed under: uncultured organism
Description: partial 16S ribosomal RNA
Rfam family: Bacterial small subunit ribosomal RNA
Source: RNAcentral